This 872-nucleotide ribosomal RNA is filed under the name Psychrobacter maritimus. RNAcentral's name for it is "bacterial SSU rRNA". It matches the Rfam family "Bacterial small subunit ribosomal RNA", at positions 440 to 1303 of the family's 1533-position model. The record is from RNAcentral. Lineage: Bacteria; Pseudomonadati; Pseudomonadota; Gammaproteobacteria; Moraxellales; Moraxellaceae.
CAGUGAAGAAGACUCCGUGGUUAAUACCCACGGACGAUGACAUUAGCUGCAGAAUAAGCACCGGCUAACUCUGUGCCAGCAGCCGCGGUAAUACAGAGGGUGCAAGCGUUAAUCGGAAUUACUGGGCGUAAAGCGAGCGUAGGUGGCUUGAUAAGUCAGAUGUGAAAUCCCCGGGCUUAACCUGGGAACUGCAUCUGAUACUGUUAGGCUAGAAUAGGUGAGAGGAAGGUAGAAUUCCAGGUGUAGCGGUGAAAUGCGUAGAGAUCUGGAGGAAUACCGAUGGCGAAGGCAGCCUUCUGGCAUCAUAUUGACACUGAGGUUCGAAAGCGUGGGUAGCAAACAGGAUUAGAUACCCUGGUAGUCCACGCCGUAAACGAUGUCUACUAGUCGUUGGGUCCCUUGAGGACUUAGUGACGCAGCUAACGCAAUAAGUAGACCGCCUGGGGAGUACGGCCGCAAGGUUAAAACUCAAAUGAAUUGACGGGGGCCCGCACAAGCGGUGGAGCAUGUGGUUUAAUUCGAUGCAACGCGAAGAACCUUACCUGGUCUUGACAUAUCUAGAAUCCUGCAGAGAUGCGGGAGUGCCUUCGGGAAUUAGAAUACAGGUGCUGCAUGGCUGUCGUCAGCUCGUGUCGUGAGAUGUUGGGGUUAAGUCCCGCAACGAGCGCAACCCUUGUCCUUAGUUACCAGCGGGUUAAGCCGGGAACUCUAAGGAUACUGCCAGUGACAAACUGGAGGAAGGCGGGGACGACGUCAAGUCAUCAUGGCCCUUACGACCAGGGCUACACACGUGCUACAAUGGUAGGUACAGAGGGCAGCUACACAGCGAUGUGAUGCGAAUCUCAAAAAGCCUAUCGUAGUCCAGAUUGGAG